RNAcentral lists this long non-coding RNA (1293 nucleotides) under Oryzias javanicus (javanese ricefish). RNAcentral's name for it is "lncRNA (ENSOJAG00000004196.1)". The record is from RNAcentral. Lineage: Eukaryota; Metazoa; Chordata; Actinopteri; Beloniformes; Adrianichthyidae.
GCACACUGGAGACUUCUGGGAAAUUUAACAGGAAUUUUGGAAUUGUGACCCCUCAUGGAACACCUGAUGUAGGUGAGUUAAUGUGGAGGAAUGAGGAAUCUCCUCUUCAGAGCUGGCAGCUUCCAGCUGAUCCAAACAGAGUUUGAACAGAUUUUCCUCUCUUUAAUGUGAGAAAUGAGAGAAACAAUCUUUAUUUGGAAAAUCUGAAAUAAAUGAGGCCUGCAGGACAAACUCCAGCUCGAUGAUUGAGGAGAAAAAUGGAACUUUGGAUCUCCAGCACAGAUGAGCGUCUGAACGUGCGGGUGAUGAUCGACGAGCAGCAGCUGCUGUCCAAUCAUCAUUUGGAGUCUGCUGGAGGCUCUGUGCUGAUGAGCUGCAGCUCCGAGUGUUUGUUGGUGGUGGGGGUACAGGUAGAGCGACAGGAGCGCUCUUCAAGCAUGAACAUGUAUGUGAAGGAGUUUGUCCUUUGAUUGACUCUUCAGAGCAGAACACGCUUCCUUCUGCAGUUUUGGAUUCUUACCAAAAGGGGGCGCUGCAACGACUUUUGAUCAUGACGUCAGAAACGGUGAAGCCAAACUUGAAGUUCACGUCAGCAGGAAGCGUAAAAACAGCAGCUGAACCAUCGGCUGAAGCUGGAAUUCUUCUGCCUGUCCAACCGUUUGUGUUUGCUGAAUCCUUCACACUGCUGUUUAGCUCUGUAGCCACGAGGAGAUCCUGAAUCCGGGUCUCCCUGUGCCGGUCCCCAGCCCGGAUGAAACACAGGGUUGAAUCUGGUGUGAUUCAGUUUUAUGUUGAUAGAAAAGUUUUUAAAACCAAAAACUGUAAAACAAGCUUUAAAGAGAUGUGUGUAGUGACAUGUUUUGAUAAUUAAACCUUGACCUUUAACCUUUUCUUGACUCUGUUUUAUAUUUUUUUUUUUUAGUGUGCUGCACUUUGUGAUUUUUAUCUUUAAAGAUGUUAAAAAUUAUUAUUACAAUGAUGCAACUUCUAUCUGGAGUCUGCAGCAAACCACCUGCUGUUAAAAUAAAGUUCAUUUAAAACAUUUAAUGUUAAAGCUUUAAAUAAACCAAAAAAAUCAGCCGAUCAGGAAAAACCUUUUCCAAAAAAAUGCAAUUUUAGCAACUUAAAUAGGAUUUUAAGUUAGAGAAUUAAAAUAAUUUUUAUUUUUUUAGAAGAUUUAUUUUCUGUAAAAUAAUCUUGUUUUUUUUUGUUAUGCCAAGGUAAAUGUUGGUGAAAAAUAUUAGCAAAUUAAUUUACUUGAUUUUGGAAAAAACAAACCCCUUUAAAAGUGAU